AACGAACGCUGGCGGCAUGCCUAACACAUGCAAGUCGAACGAGACCUUCGGGUCUAGUGGCGCACGGGUGCGUAACACGUGGGAAUCUGCCCUUUGCUUCGGAAUAACAGUUAGAAAUGACUGCUAAUACCGGAUGAUGUCGAAAGACCAAAGAUUUAUCGGCAAAGGAUGAGCCCGCGUAGGAUUAGGUAGUUGGUGGGGUAAAGGCCUACCAAGCCGACGAUCCUUAGCUGGUCUGAGAGGAUGAUCAGCCACACUGGGACUGAGACACGGCCCAGACUCCUACGGGAGGCAGCAGUGGGGAAUAUUGGACAAUGGGCGAAAGCCUAAUCCAGCAAUGCCGCGUGAGUGAUGAAGGCCUUAGGGUUGUAAAGCUCUUUUACCAGGGAUGAUAAUGACAGUACCUGGAGAAUAAGCUCCGGCUAACUCCGUG
RNAcentral lists this ribosomal RNA (433 nucleotides) under uncultured bacterium. Its description in RNAcentral is "partial 16S ribosomal RNA". It matches the Rfam family "Bacterial small subunit ribosomal RNA", at positions 29 to 507 of the family's 1533-position model. The record is from RNAcentral.